CAGCAGCCGCGGUAAUACAGAGGGUGCAAGCGUUAAUCGGAAUUACUGGGCGUAAAGCGCGCGUAGGUGGUUCGUUAAGUUGGAUGUGAAAGCCCCGGGCUCAACCUGGGAACUGCAUCCAAAACUGGCGAGCUAGAGUACGGUAGAGGGUGGUGGAAUUUCCUGUGUAGCGGUGAAAUGCGUAGAUAUAGGAAGGAACACCAGUGGCGAAGGCGACCACCUGGACUGAUACUGACACUGAGGUGCGAAAGCGUGGGGAGCAAACAGGAUUAGAUACCCGCGUAGUCCCUGUCUCUUAUAC
RNAcentral lists this ribosomal RNA (301 nucleotides) under uncultured bacterium. RNAcentral describes it as "partial 16S ribosomal RNA". It matches the Rfam family "Bacterial small subunit ribosomal RNA", at positions 509 to 807 of the family's 1533-position model. The record is from RNAcentral.